This 429-nucleotide ribosomal RNA is filed under the name Actinomycetes bacterium. RNAcentral describes it as "Actinobacteria bacterium partial 16S ribosomal RNA". It matches the Rfam family "Bacterial small subunit ribosomal RNA", at positions 355 to 776 of the family's 1533-position model. Lineage: Bacteria; Bacillati; Actinomycetota; Actinomycetes. The record is from RNAcentral.
UAGGGAAUCUUCCGCAAUGGGCGAAAGCCUGACGGAGCAACGCCGCGUGAGUGAUGAAGGUCUUCGGAUCGUAAAACUCUGUUAUUAGGGAAGAACAAAUGUGUAAGUAACUAUGCACGUCUUGACGGUACCUAAUCAGAAAGCCACGGCUAACUACGUGCCAGCAGCCGCGGUAAUACGUAGGUGGCAAGCGUUAUCCGGAAUUAUUGGGCGUAAAGCGCGCGUAGGCGGUUUUUUAAGUCUGAUGUGAAAGCCCACGGCUCAACCGUGGAGGGUCAUUGGAAACUGGAAAACUUGAGUGCAGAAGAGGAAAGUGGAAUUCCAUGUGUAGCGGUGAAAUGCGCAGAGAUAUGGAGGAACACCAGUGGCCAAGGCGACUUUCUGGUCUGUAACUGACGCUGAUGUGCGAAAGCGUGGGGAUCAAACAGG